This 298-nucleotide small RNA is filed under the name Microvirga flocculans. Its description in RNAcentral is "sRNA CC2171". It matches the Rfam family "caulobacter sRNA CC2171", at positions 1 to 138 of the family's 159-position model. The record is from RNAcentral. Lineage: Bacteria; Pseudomonadati; Pseudomonadota; Alphaproteobacteria; Hyphomicrobiales; Methylobacteriaceae.
CAACAGCGAAAGGAGGUGAUCCAGUGUCUCAUUGUCAUACCCUACGGUCCCCGGUUGCCGUGACCUGGAUCUUGGCCUCUGCCGAGAUCGGUGCGUAACGCACGCGCAUCGUAGCGGAAAAGUGGAAUCCGAUUUUCGCUAGCGCGGCCCGCUGGGUCCGCACCCAACGAUGCGUCCUUGAAGAAGGGGCAUCGAAUGGAUCCCAAAAGCGGGGUCCACUUUUGGGUCCGAUGCCUAUGGCCGGCGUUCAGCGGGCCGUGGAACCGACAAUGGAAAGGCCGCCUCCCAGGGCGGCCUU